RNAcentral lists this unclassified non-coding RNA (300 nucleotides) under Hevea brasiliensis (rubber tree). Lineage: Eukaryota; Viridiplantae; Streptophyta; Magnoliopsida; Malpighiales; Euphorbiaceae. The record is from RNAcentral.
GAUUGAUCUUUUAAGUUCAUGCUGGAUCUUGUAGUGGCAGAAGAGCAAAUAAAAGUAAGGGGCGAGAAGCAAGAGAGAGAGCUUGAAAAUGAACGCAGAUUUUGGGGGAGCAAGUGGUGGGUCAGCAAAUUCUUGGGUUUUGUGCUCGAUUUUGGAAUCGGUAGGGACUGGUUUCGCGGUGCUUGUGUCCGUUGUUGAUGUAGCUCUCUUGCGAGCUGCCAUGCCUCACUCGAACUUCUCUGUUUCUCUGCAAGUCUGUGUCUCUGUUACGGAAUUGAUUCUUGCUCUGUCUAAUUUGGG